AGUGAACGCUGGCGGUAGGCCUAACACAUGCAAGUCGAACGGCAGCACAGUAAGAGCUUGCUCUUACGGGUGGCGAGUGGCGGACGGGUGAGGAAUACAUCGGAAUCUACUUUUUCGUGGGGGAUAACGUAGGGAAACUUACGCUAAUACCGCAUACGACCUACGGGUGAAAGCAGGGGAUCUUCGGACCUUGCGCGAUUGAAUGAGCCGAUGUCGGAUUAGCUAGUUGGCGGGGGAAAGGCCCACCAAGGCGACGAUCCGUAGCUGGUCUGAGAGGAUGGUCAGCCACACUGGAACUGAGACACGGUCCAGACUCCUACGGGAGGCAGCAGUGGGGAAUAUUGGACAAUGGGCGCAAGCCUGAUCCAUCCAUACCGCGUGGGUGAAGAAGGCCUUCGGGUUGUAAAGCCCUUUUGUUGGGAAAGAAAAGCAGCAGGUUAAUACCCCGCUGUUCUGACGGUACCCAAAGAAUAAGCACCGGCUAACUUCGUG
This 492-nucleotide ribosomal RNA is filed under the name uncultured bacterium. Its description in RNAcentral is "partial 16S ribosomal RNA". It matches the Rfam family "Bacterial small subunit ribosomal RNA", at positions 29 to 507 of the family's 1533-position model. The record is from RNAcentral.